UGGCGACGGGUGAGUAACGCGUGGGUAACCUGCCCUAUACAGGGGGAUAACAGUUAGAAAUGACUGCUAAUACCGCAUAAGCGCACAGGACCGCAUGGUUCGGUGUGAAAAACUGAGGUGGUAUAGGAUGGACCCGCGUCUGAUUAGCUUGUUGGUGGGGUAACGGCUCACCAAGGCGACGAUCAGUAGCCGGCCUGAGAGGGCGACCGGCCACACUGGGACUGAGACACGGCCCAGACUCCUACGGGAGGCAGCAG
RNAcentral lists this ribosomal RNA (257 nucleotides) under uncultured bacterium. RNAcentral's name for it is "partial 16S ribosomal RNA". It matches the Rfam family "Bacterial small subunit ribosomal RNA", at positions 96 to 354 of the family's 1533-position model. The record is from RNAcentral.